ACAUUCAUAUGUUUUUCUUUGGGACUGAGGCAUUGGAGCAGUUUGUGGACCGUCUCAUUGGGUGGUCACAGUACUGCAAUCUUAUCCUGCACUUUGUAGCAUUUAUAGAGAGGGCACUUAAUAAGAUUUCAGCUGCUCAUACUGAACCUGAUUUAGAGGGAACCUUUAGCUGCAAUCUUUCUAUUCCCUCAUGGAGAGUUUGUAUCUGGCUGGUGCACGUCUGACCCUCUAGUUUCUGAAGAGGAUGCACCAUUAGACUAUUGUACCUCGAUCCUCUUAUGCUCAUCAGAGAACUUCGUUGUUGAAUAAAGUGAUUGCAAACCUUCAUUGCUUUGUUCCUGAUGUAUGCCUGGAUGAGAAGGAUCUGUCAACAAAUUCAUUCGGUUCAUAUAGAAGGACUAUCAGAAACUGUCAGAUGGAUUCUUUUCUCUACUUCAGAGCUGACAGAGUAUCCACAAUUAGCAAGAACUUAUGACUAGCUUCCUUUAUUGGACUCUAAGCCCAGAUGAAAAAAAGAGUAGCCCAACGCUACAUUUUUUCUGGAAUAAGCGUCCUAAAAAGGAGUUUUAAUGCAUAA
Long non-coding RNA from Salvia splendens (bonfire salvia), 577 nucleotides. RefSeq lists it as uncharacterized. NCBI's taxonomy places the organism in Eukaryota, Viridiplantae, Streptophyta, Magnoliopsida, Lamiales, Lamiaceae. The record is from RefSeq and is a predicted model, not a curated record. The transcript has 5 exons.